AAUAAGAUAGGUUAUAAAAACCGUUGAGUUGUGGUCUCAGAAAUACUUUUGUUCUAAUUC
Molecule: transfer RNA, 60 nt
Filed under: Baicaloclepsis grubei
Lineage: Eukaryota; Metazoa; Annelida; Clitellata; Rhynchobdellida; Glossiphoniidae
Description: tRNA-His
Source: RNAcentral